This 496-nucleotide ribosomal RNA is filed under the name uncultured bacterium. Its description in RNAcentral is "partial 16S ribosomal RNA". It matches the Rfam family "Bacterial small subunit ribosomal RNA", at positions 28 to 506 of the family's 1533-position model. The record is from RNAcentral.
GAUGAACGCUGGCGGCGUGCCUAAUACAUGCAAGCCGAGCGAACAGACGAGGAGCUUGCUCCUCUGACGUUAGCGGCGGACGGGUGAGUAACACGUGGAUAACCUACCUAUAAGACUGGGAUAACUUCGGGAAACCGGAGCUAAUACCGGAUAAUAUAUUGAACCGCAUGGUUCAAUAGUGAAAGACGGUUUUGCUGUCACUUAUAGAUGGAUCCGCGCCGCAUUAGCUAGUUGGUAAGGUAACGGCUUACCAAGGCGACGAUGCGUAGCCGACCUGAGAGGGUGAUCGGCCACACUGGAACUGAGACACGGUCCAGACUCCUACGGGAGGCAGCAGUAGGGAAUCUUCCGCAAUGGGCGAAAGCCUGACGGAGCAACGCCGCGUGAGUGAUGAAGGUCUUCGGAUCGUAAAACUCUGUUAUUAGGGAAGAACAAAUGUGUAAGUAACUAUGCACGUCUUGACGGUACCUAAGCAGAAAGCCACGGCUAACUACGU